AGUAGAGGUGCUGCAUGGCUGUCGUUCAGCUCGUGUCGUGAGAUGUUGGGUUAAGUCCCGCAACGAGCGCAACCCUUGUCAUUAGUUGCUACAUUCAGUUGGGCACUCUAAUGAGACUGCCGGUGACAAACCGGAGGAAGGUGGGGAUGACGUCAAGUCCUCAUGGCCCUUAUAGGUGGGGCUACACACGUCAUACAAUGGAUGGUACAAAGGGUCGCCAACCCGCGAGGGGGAGCCAAUCCCAUAAAGCCAUUCGUAGUCCGGAUCGCAGUCUGCAACUCGACUGCGUGAAGUCGGAAUCGCUAGUAAUCGUGGAUCAGAAUGUCACGGUGAAUACGUUCCCGGGUCUUGU
This 352-nucleotide ribosomal RNA is filed under the name uncultured Acidovorax sp. Its description in RNAcentral is "bacterial SSU rRNA". It matches the Rfam family "Bacterial small subunit ribosomal RNA", at positions 1031 to 1384 of the family's 1533-position model. The record is from RNAcentral. Lineage: Bacteria; Pseudomonadati; Pseudomonadota; Betaproteobacteria; Burkholderiales; Comamonadaceae.